UUUGAAAUCUGACUUUCGGGUCCGACUUGUAAUCUGCAGAUGAGUCUUUUGGCGGAGCGCCGUCCAAGUUCCCUGGAACGGGACGCCGGAGAGGGUGAGAGCCCCGUACCGACGUGCGCCGAGUCUUUGCAAAGCUCAUUCGAAGAGUCGAGUAGUUUGGAAAUGCUGCUCUAAUUGUGGGGUAAAUCUCCCAUAAGGCUAAAUACUGGCCAGAGACCGAUAGCGCACAAGUAGCGUGAGCGAAAGAUGAAAAGAGCCUUGAACAAGGGCGUCAAAAAGCAUGUGAAAUUGUUAUGGGGGAAGCGCUCAAUGCCAGACGUGGCGACGGUUGGUUACCCGGCGUUCUCGCCGGCGCACUCUGCCGCCGCCAGGCCAGCAUCAGUUCGGUCCGGGGCUUACUUCCGCUCGGAACGUGGCUCUUCGGAGUGUUAUAGCCCUGCGGCGACGCCCUGGGCCGGACUGAGGAACGCGCAUCUGCCCGGAUGCUGGCGUAAUGGCUUUUAGCGACCCGUCUUGAAACACGGACCAAGGAGUUGACCUAGUAUGCGAGUGUUUGGGUGUCAAGCCCUCACGCGCAGUGAAAGCGAACGCAGGUGGGAGCCUCGGCGCACCAUCGACCGAUCCUGAAGUUUACGGAUGGAUUUGAGUAGGAGCAUACUGGGUCUGACCCGAAAGAAGGUGAACUAUGCAUGAAUAGGGUGAAGCCAGAGGAAACUCUGGUGGAGGCUCGCAGCGGUUCUGACGUGCAAAUCGAUCGUCAAA
This 762-nucleotide ribosomal RNA is filed under the name Pleurotheciella fusiformis. RNAcentral's name for it is "LSU rRNA". It matches the Rfam family "Eukaryotic large subunit ribosomal RNA", at positions 114 to 909 of the family's 3401-position model. Lineage: Eukaryota; Fungi; Ascomycota; Sordariomycetes; Pleurotheciales; Pleurotheciaceae. The record is from RNAcentral.